AGGAUGAACGCUAGCGACAGGCUUAACACAUGCAAGUCGAGGGGCAGCGGGGGCGUAGCAAUAUGCCUGCCGGCGACCGGCGCACGGGUGAGUAACACGUAUGUAACCUGCCCUAUGCAGGGGGAUAACCCGGAGAAAUCCGGCCUAAUACCGCGUAACACCUUAGGGGAGCAUUCUCUUGAGGUUAAAGGAGAGAUCCGGCAUAGGAUGGACAUGCGUCGCAUUAGGUAGACGGCGGGGUAACGGCCCACCGUGCCGACGAUGCGUAGGGGUUCUGAGAGGAAGGCCCCCCACACUGGUACUGAGACACGGACCAGACUCCUACGGGAGGCAGCAGUGAGGAAUAUUGGUCAAUGGCCGAGAGGCUGAACCAGCCAAGUCGCGUGAGGGAAGAAUGUCCUAAGGAUUGUAAACCUCUUUUGUCGGGGAGCAAAAAGGCUCUGCGGAGUCGUAUUGAGAGUACCCGAAGAAAAAGCAUCGGCUAACUCCGUGCCAGCAGCCGCGGUAAUACGGAGGAUGCGAGCGUUAUCCGGAUUUAUUGGGUUUAAAGGGUGCGCAGGCGGCGUGUCAAGCAAGCGGUAAAAUAGCGGGGCUCAACCCCGUCGAGCCGUUUGAACUGGCGCGCUUGAGUUCAGGCGAGGUAGGCGGAAUUCGUGGUGUAGCGGUGAAAUGCAUAGAUAUCACGAAGAACUCCGAUUGCGAAGGCAGCUUACCAGUCUGCGACUGACGCUCAGGCACGAAAGUGUGGGUAUCGAACAGGAUUAGAUACCCUGGUAGUCCACACAGUAAACGAUGAGCGCUAGGUGUCCGGGUCGCAUGAGACUUGGGUGCCCGAGCGAAAGCGUUAAGCGCUCCACCUGGGGAGUACGCCGGCAACGGUGAAACUCAAAGGAAUUGACGGGGGCCCGCACAAGCGGAGGAACAUGUGGUUUAAUUCGAUGAUACGCGAGGAACCUUACCCGGGCUCAAACGACUCAGGAAUAUAUUGGAAACGAUGUAGCCAGCAAUGGUCUGAGUCGAGGUGCUGCAUGGUUGUCGUCAGCUCGUGCCGUGAGGUGUCGGCUUAAGUGCCAUAACGAGCGCAACCCCUACCGCCAGUUGCCAACGGGUAAAGCCGGGAACUCUGGCGGGACUGCCGGCGCAAGCUGUGAGGAAGGCGGGGAUGACGUCAAAUCAGCACGGCCCUUACGUCCGGGGCGACACACGUGUUACAAUGGCAGGUACAGCGGGAAGCCACCUGGUGACAGGGAGCGGAACCCGAAAGCCUGUCUCAGUUCGGAUUGGAGUCUGCAACUCGACUCCAUGAAGCUGGAUUGCUAGUAAUCGCGCAUCAGCCAUGGCGCGGUGAAUACGUUCCCGGGCCUUGCACACACCGCCCGUCA
RNAcentral lists this ribosomal RNA (1382 nucleotides) under uncultured bacterium. RNAcentral's name for it is "16S ribosomal RNA". It matches the Rfam family "Bacterial small subunit ribosomal RNA", at positions 26 to 1399 of the family's 1533-position model. The record is from RNAcentral.